UACGGAGGUCUCAAGCGUUGUUCGGAUUCAUUGGGCGUAAAGGGUGCGUAGGUGGCGCCGUAAGUGGGGUGUGAAAUCUCGGGGCUUAACUCCGAAACUGCAUUCCAUACUGCGGUGCUCGAGGACUGGAGAGGAGACUGGAAUUUACGGUGUAGCAGUGAAAUGCGUAGAGAUCGUAAGGAAGACCAGUGGCGAAGGCGGGUCUCUGGACAGUUCCUGACACUGAGGCACGAAGGCCAGGGGAGCAAACGGG
Molecule: ribosomal RNA, 253 nt
Filed under: uncultured bacterium
Lineage: Bacteria
Description: partial 16S ribosomal RNA
Rfam family: Bacterial small subunit ribosomal RNA
Source: RNAcentral